RNAcentral lists this long non-coding RNA (289 nucleotides) under Nicotiana benthamiana. Its description in RNAcentral is "long non-coding RNA (NBEN_LNC028025)". The record is from RNAcentral. Lineage: Eukaryota; Viridiplantae; Streptophyta; Magnoliopsida; Solanales; Solanaceae.
CAUCCCCCGCCGCAGCCACUAUCCCUCCAACCGACUAUGGAGAAUAGUGACGCACACGCGCACUAUAGCGGAAUACGCAAAAAGAUGCAAACUAGAUAGCGACAGAGUAGACCUCACACGAAAUGCUAGCUAAAAUACGUAAAAAAGUGUACAAAGUAAAACAAGAGAGCGGGAGGUACCAACUCCCGGUGGAAAAACCUGAAAGUAGGCUUUGAUGCGCCCAAGGUCAACUGCUACCGACUCUUGCACGUCACGGCCGGUGUUGCUUAGCUCUUCACUCCCAAACGCC